GCUGUGGAGGGGGGUUCCCAUCACACCAUGCAUUAUGUGCCCUCGUUAUCCCCCCAGAACCAGAGGUUGUGUUCUGCUUUUCCUUUCCUGAAUACAACCUUUGUGAAUAUGCACCACUGUUGAUUUGCAUUCAGACCGUUAAGCCAAACCCACAGAGCUGGCUGCGAGGAGCUCUGACAGCUCGGGUUCGCUGAGCACGUGUUGACGUGAAAAUGUUUUCCGGAUUAAUCUCCGUUUCCCCAGGAUUUUGUCAUCGUGGGGAACUGGUGCAAAGUUCAGACGAAGUCAGAGUGCUGGUAUUUUUAAAUACAACCUCUCACCUUCUCCUUUUCACAUCGCUGUUUGUUUUGAAAGACUAUUUUUGCCUGGCAAGUGAUAAUGCAUUGCAUCAUCGCAGUCAGCCUCAGAGCUCAGCGCGCUGAGAACCCCAACCCGCAGACGGGAUUUGGUUUUCUCUCUGACACCGAAUGAAACCAGUGAGGAAAUUGAGACCUCUGGGCAAACAGAACACCAUUCCCCUGCCAGCUUUCACAACAAGGAAAGUGAGGCAGGGCUUUUAGCGCGCUGCUAUCGGUGCUCCAUCUGAUUGACACAGUGCACUCGGGGCAACGAGGACCACAAAGGGUUGUACUCCUGAGUGCUCCCCAGGCUGAACCGAUCAGCGGCACGCUGCUUUUCUUUGCUCACAGUGGCUGAGUGUAUUUUACUGUGCUGCAGAUGCAGAGAUGGUUAUCAAGCUGGAAUCGUGCCUGGGCUGGCCGCGGUGCUCCCAGUGCUCCCAGUACUCCCAAUACUCUGAAGCCUGAAAUCCCAUUCAGAUACCAGUGGAGCAUCAUGCUCUCAGGACUGCUUCUGGAUUGCACUCUUAAUAUCCCAGAGAUCUGUGUUUUUUGUCCUCCCUUCCUCUCCCUUCCCCUUUUUUCCUUCCUUUUCAAACCAAGAUUUUAUCUGAUAGUGCAGAAAAACCUUUUGAAGUCAUCCUGUCCCCAUGCAGAGCACUACAUGCAGAUGAAUAGUUAAUAGGCGCAAUGCAGACGUAAUUACAGAGUUAUAAGAGCCUUAUUUAUGCUCUUCACAUUAAAGUGAUAUCACACUAUUAAAUCUUCUUACCAUUAGCUACUCAGUGCGGGGAGAGAACGCACAAGUGAAGCAGUCAUGGGAAAAUUUCCUCAUUAGUCUCUUAAGAGCAGCGGAAGACACAAAGUGGGGUGGAUCCAUCACCUGGGCUGUGACUGAGGCAGGCAGAGAGCAUUAAAUACUCUGACAUUGCUCCACCAGAGAAGUUUGCACACACUUCUCUGAUGUGCAGAGUGGAGAGGUCACAGCUGGAACCUCUUUUCAGGGAGACGAGCACACGUUGGGCAGCAGAACAUUGCUGUUGUCAUGGGCACUGGCUUUCCCUGUACUGUGCACGGAGCAAAUGAAUGCAGGAGGAGGAAGAUGCCCCAGAAAAGCUGCCUGUUUCUCGGCCUGGCUUCACAGCUCAGCACAAAGUCACCUCCAGUCCCACAGGGCCGUGGGGUUGGUGGCAUCGCAGCAUGUGGCUGGAGGAGGCAGGCGUGAUCCAGCACCACGAGCAGAUCAGACACAUCUCAAGGCGUGUGAUAGAGUCCUUGUACAUCAUGGGCACGUCCCCAGCAGCUGUGGGUGUUCAAGGAGGUGACGGACAGUUCUGUGGUGGUUGGAUGGGGUAAAACAUAUUUUUCACUGCAAAACUAGGAAUGCUUGGUGGAAAUCUUCAGCGCUUCCUCAUCCUGCGUAGGCAGCGUGUGCUAGCGGGCUGAGCUCGGGAAGGGUUCGAUGUGCCCCCUUGGAAAGUUCAAAAAUUCAACUGUUACAUUUUCCAAUUUGAAGCUUUCUUGAUGAUAAAUUACCAUUAUUUUUAUGAUCACUUCUGAAAAUCCUCAAGCUGGAGAGAAAACUUUCCCUAACAUCUGCAAUUACUUUUUUCCCCUCCAAUUUUCCAAAUAAAAGGUUAAAAAAGGGUUAAACUGGAUCUUUUCUUUCCCAUUUUAAAUUAUGCAGCAUUAUGAGAAAGCCUUGAAACCAAUUAUUCAAGCAGAGUUUUGCUUUCUCCCGCACUGAGGGAUGAAUCCUGCUCUUGCAGUGGGACCAAGAAAGGGAGAGAAUCUUUGCCAACCUUGUCUGCCUCAGCCCUGCAGGCCGGGGAGGUUAUUGCCAUCGCACCAGCUGCCAUCUCUCAUGUUCCAGUGUCAGAGCAGCAUGUUCCAAGGUCUGAUUCAGCUUUCAAGCCCUCUCCUUGUUAAUCCCACCCCAAUCAAUAAAUGUCCAGCGACAGAGGUGAGCAGACAGGACUGGAGGAUUCAGCUUCAGCUCAGGCUGCCGGAGCUGCUUCCCAGCUCUAGAAGAGCAACUGUGACUUCUGGGUACGUCAUCUGAGCACUAGGAGAUGGAUUCUUCCAUCCUUGACUUCUCCAGGUCCAUCUCAGCAUCUCCUCCCCUCGUUUCCUUGCUGUUCGAGGCUUCAGAACCUCCCAGGUUGGUGUCCACUCACUACGUGGUUACCAGUUUCAUCACUACUCUACUGCUGCCGGGGAUCUUGGCUGCAUUUCAGGUCAUGACCUGAGCAUGUCCACCCUGCCAUCCAGUUGGGCUGGGCAGUCAUUGUCAAAGAUCAGGGUUUGUUAGCACGGCAAGCUAAUACUCUUUCAUUAAGAAAAUUGCCUUCCAUAGCCUGCAGGAGCAUGCAGCUCAGCUGAGCUUCUGAUAAGACAUUCAUACAUUAAGAAGAAAAUGAUAAGUCAGAUAUAAAUUUGCAGUUUAAUCUUGAAAUGGUAAAUUUUUCAGCAUCUGAAUCUUGUUUUCUUCGGUCAGUACCACCUCUGCCCAGGCACACCGUGACUCACCUCCUCCUAAAUAUCCAGUCCAACUUUUACGUAUUGGCAAGAGUGCAAAUUCACUGUUCAGCAUUCCUUCCCAUCCAAAGCGGUAUUUGAGCUGGGUGGCAUGGGAUCCUCCUGAGGUUUGUUUUUCAUAAAUGAUCAUUCUCUCUGUUUUUCUUGCAGUACUGAACGAUCUGAUCUUUGCAUGUCACGUGUCAUUAGGUUUAAAGUCAUUUAGCAGAGACGUUAAUCUGCAGCUGGAUGGAGCUGUCUGGUAUGUGCCACUCGAGCUCAGCCUUUGUGAUCUGACACUUGCUCCAGGCUUUAAGAUCUUAAUGUGAUGAACUGUGCCUCAGUUUACCUUCCUUAACCGCUAAUUUGAUUUAAGGAUGGAAUAAAUGUAGAGCUCUUCUGAUCUGCACUGUUUCUAAUAGCAGUGCUUGGCAGCUGUUUGAGCCAUGGAGAUUUUUCCAUCCCCUGCAAGCUCCGCUGAGCCUUGGCCUCGCCUUCCCCUCUGCACAGAGCUCUUCUUCCUUCAGAGAGCUAUCAUAAGGGUUAGUUCAUUAACACCUCUAGAAGGCACCUGGAGUGGAAAAUCGUUGAUGAGUGUUCCGUUUGGGCAGCGCAGAGGAGCUGUCAGGCCAGUUCACCACUGCCCAUGAAACUGUCACCUCCAUUUGGAGUUUGCCUCUUGCACUGUCUGAGUGUGGAUGUGGAUGCAUCUCCCACCCAGCGUCAUCUGGGCUGACUCUGGAGCUGCAGACAGGCUUUUAUCUGCCUGAAGAAGCAGAGGGUGAGUUCAGUAGAAGAUGUGUCUAUGAGAUAACAGCCGACCACAACAGAGUUACUGUAUGAAAUAGUCCCGCCUGGUGACAUGGACGUGCCCCGGGAGUUCUGCUGACUGCAGGCAGAGGAAUAAAUUCCCCUUCCUUCCUUUGUACCCAUUUUAACCACUUGGGUUGAUGGAAAAAGAAUAGAGAAAUGAUUUUCUCUCCCAGUUCUGACAAUCCUGCUUUUUUCCUCCAGGGCAUUCAUCACACAGGGCUUAGAGAAAAACAAAUCAAGCUUUCCAUUUCUUUCCACUCAACGUGUGCUUGGCCGGGUUUUGUCUCUCCAUCGGUGAGAGGAGCGAUGGGAUCACGCUCAGUCCCAAACAGACAGUGGCUACAGCUCCAGCAGCAGCCCCGCAAAGCCCAUUCCUCAGCAGCAUGGGACCCAGCUGCACGGGACCCAGGGCCACGUGUUGAGCAGGGGCAGAGGCGCAGUCGUGCAGCAGCCGCAGUUGUGCCUCGCCAGCCGCAUCUCGCCUUGGCAAGCGGCAGCACGCACGUUAAAGCCAAUUGCUGGGAAGUGACGGGGUUGUUACACACUGCCACGCCGGCUCAUCAUCGCUUUUGUCAGAAAGUGACCUUGGCAGGUAUCGAGUGUCUGGCAGCACUAAAAAUAUCAGCUGUUGCUGUCUGCUAGGUUGCAAAACCACGGGCGCCCAUGCAGACGCAGGACGUGCGAGCGAGAUGAGGCUUUGCAAAGCCCUUCCUCUCCUCCUGGCAAGGCAGCGUCUCUGCUUUCUAAGGUUGUCUAUGAGUGCAAACUUGUUCCAAGAUGAAAAUCCCCUUUUGGAGGAGGGUGGGAGAAACCAAUGGCGAUGUGAUUUCAGCAAAUGAGAUGUAAAGGGAGAGGUAGAACUAAAGAGGGGAUGGACAGAUGGACCGACACCAGGCUGGGAUGGCAGGAGAUGUGGAGGGCAAGGGCAGCUCCGAAGAGACAAGGCGGCCCAGACAACUGCAGACAUCUCAGCAGUGGUGCUGGCAGAAGGCUCAGCGGGCUCCCUUGGCUCUGACGCUUUUUCACACUGGCUUCUUCCAUUCUGUUCAUGUUUCUUUCUAUUUCUACACCUGGAUCAUGGCCAGAAUAAGAAGGGGAGAUAGAAAACUUAGUGCUUUUCAAUUAAACGAGAAGCACUUUGCCAUUGUAAGCGAGCUUAUUUAGACAUUAAAUCAAAAUCAAAUGCUUGUGCUAUCAGUGCUACUUACAGUCUGAUAAUUAAUGAUGGCUUUCCCCAGCAAAAACUCUUCUGUGUUCUGUCAGCACCACUGUACAUCUUUGAUCAAAAGCUUUUUAAGUAGUUUCAGAAGCUGGAUCUUUAAAAUAAAAAUAACACGCAGUGGUAAUUCUCUGCCCAGGAAAUAAAUAAUAAAGGCUUGUAGCAUUUAAGUGUUGGAUGUCAGCUAAUCAACAAUUUCAGCAUCAUUGCGUGGUGGUGAGCUGAGAAAUGGGAAAAUGAAGGGGCUUUGCAGUUAUGUGGAAACUCUGGCAAUGUGAAGGAAUCUUAAAGCAGAUUAUUUUCAGGACCUUUUCUCUAACCUAAGCGGUGGAGAGAGUUCUCAGUGCUAAUGGAAAUCAAGCCCAGUUCCUCUUACGGAAAUAUAAACCAUCCCAGUCACAUUUCCCCUUCGCCCUGCUCAGUCUUGGAGGAGGAUAAAAGGAGAAAGGGAGGAAGACUCUGUGCAUUGAGCUGCAUGCAUUGAACUGUGUGCAUGAUUGUUUGCUGGGCAGAAGUCCUCAAGGUCGCAUCCCAUCCCCAGAAGGCAGCUGUGCACCUCUGGUGCUGGGAGCACACCGUGCUGCUGCAGGGAGGCAAGACUGGCUGCAGGCCGGGCGAACGCCUCCGGCAGGGUCUCCAUACCCUCCUGUUCCUCACCUUUCCUCAACUUAGAAUUGGCCUCCAUUCUCAGAUGGGCUUCCUUGCCUUGCCUUUUUCUGCCCGGUGCCUUUGGGAGCACCUCAGAGUUCCCCACCUCUCCGUUUGGGGUCAGAGGGACGUCCCUCCUGGUGCAUCUCCCAGCCUUCAUCUCCAACCCGUCUGCAGGAAGGAGCCUGCCUUCCUCCAUCAGAAUGCUCAGCAGAGCCGACAGCUGCCAAGUGCAAUAAUUGGGCCUCACCUCACUUUGCCUCGCGCUGCCAGCUGCCGGUGCAAUUAAGCUGCAUUAUUACUUUCUAAACUGAGAAACAUUUCCACUCCUCCCCGUGCUCCCCUCCUCCUUCUCCACCCCCCCGUGCCGCCCGUGCUGCGUCAGCUCAUCCCAUGCUCGCGGGGCAGCUCGGAGCAGGUGGCUGCAGCACCUUCAGAAGGGCCCAGGGGGCUGCUCCGUGCAGACGUGUGGGGCUCCGGGAGCAGCUGGAAGCCGUCGUUAAGAACAGUUUUUCUUUUGGCAGUAGUUACUGCUAGAAAAACACAACGUGACUUGAGGCUGCAGAAAGCAGCCCGUAAAGGACCUGUGAACUUUUCUUGCUGUGGUUAGAUUUGUUACGUUGUUUACCCUUUCUGAUGCAAAUGCAGUUGAAAUAGGUUCGGGUUGGAUAUUAGGGAACAUUUCUUCUCCAAACAGCAGUGAUGCAUUGGCAUGGGCUGCUCAGGGGACGGCGGGGUCACCAUCCAUGGGGGUUGUCCAUAACCAUGGAGGUGCAGCACUGAGAGACGUGGUUGGUGGGCAUGGUGAGGGUGGGAUGCUCCAGCCAUAAUGAUUCAGUGAUACUGUGAACGCAUAGAAAGCCCUUGAGGAAGCAGCUGGAGCCACCUGAGGAGGUGGUGUGGGUGCGUGUCCCAUUCGCUCAGACCACGCGGGUCUCUCUGCAGGGGGAGGUGGGUGGGUGCCCCGUGUCCUCGGCAUGCAGCGCACACGUGUUGGGUCAUCUGAAGGAAUUAUCACACGGAUGGAGCUUGCUUCCAUCUGCCAAACUCAGUCUGAAUCAAGCAGAAGGAGACAAACAUCCCACGGAACAUCUCAUCUCCCUAGAGGGUAUCUUCCUUUGCGUUACUCUUCUGAAUUCAACACACGAGGUGGCUCAGCAGAGCAGCCCUGGCAGUGGGGGCUGUGCUGUCACCAGGCCUCGUGCUGGUGGGGGCACAGGGGCUCAGCUCUGUGCAUCAUGCAGGGCUGAGCUCGGGGCUGGGGGCUGUCCCUCCCCCCCCAUCACACAUGGUGCCUGCUCUGUGCUCCGUGAGACGGCAGCCUCACCCCGCCUGAGCCGGGAAGGGGAAGCUAACUUCUACAAGCGAUUAACUAAUUAAAAUGCGCUCGAACAAUUGCAGUUGAGUGUCUGACUAUAACCUUCAGCUCUGGCUUAAUUAGUACAUAAACCUUGCUUUACGUCCUGUGCGAAGGGUUGAAUUGAAUGUGCUUGGAAUUAUCUGCUCAGUGCAGCGAGGAGACCAGGUACCAGCAGCUCCCUGCUAUCAGUACUCCUCCCCACCUGACUGGGCUGUGACCAUGCACUUACCUCUUACGGUGCCCUGAAUGAGUUUAAUGACUUCGGGUCAGUAAGGACGGGGCUGGGAGAGCUGUUAGCCUAUGUGAUGGCAUUACAUGGAGAAAAAGUCUGAAUCUGUUUCCAGCACCAGAAGAAAUAGAUUUGUAUUUGCUCAUAAUCAUAUGUUUUUAGCUAAAUUAAUCACUGGAUUAGAUCUAGUUCUGGUUCAGCAGAACCGCACCGUGCUGUGCUUAUCCUGAUCUGACUCCCUGGCUUCAUGUGAGCUGAGUCUGUGGGUGCUGGUAUGGAGAGAGGGAAGAACAACCCAGUGGUAACCAGUGGGGGCUUUGCAGAGCUGGCUGGGCAGGGACGCUCAGUGGCUGGUGUGAAAUAUUUGGGGCUUGACUUGAUACGGAUGAUGUUCUCCAAGUUCAUAGCAAAACAAAACUGGGUAAGAAAUCAUUCCAGCCGGAACAAAACAUUUGCUUCAUUUGCAGUUGUUCAGUCAGUUGUUCAAUCGGAUAGAAAGAAAUGGAGUGAUGAAAUACCGGUUCAAAAGAAAACAUUGGAAGGUUUCAGUAUGGGAAUUUGAAGUGGGGGAAGGAGACCAGCAAGGUGAAGUGCAUGAACUCAUAGCUCUGCUGGCCGCAGUGCAAGUGCUGCAACACAAAGCACCUGAGCCCGGCUGCACUGCAGGAGGUGACUGGAGUCCUCGCCUGGUGCACCCAGGAAAAGGAACGGCAGAGCUUUUAAUUAGAGAACUGCUGAAACGUGAUGUUCCAGAGAUCAGAACUUCUCAAGCACUUAGAGUUAUUUUGGGGUCCAAAUGGACUUUUUCUUCUGACAAGUUCUGGUUCUAGCGUUUCUCAAUGGGAAAAGAUGAGGUAAUCUCCUGGGCAAGCUGUCGCUAUUCCUGGUACCCGCAGCAGCUUCUUGAACCCCUUCACGUACUCUCACUUUUCCCCUCCCACACACAGUGCUGAGAAAUAAAUCCUUUGGAAAUGGAAAUCAGGCUCGAAGUAAACAGAUUAGUAAUGGUUAGUUGGUAACUCUUUAUUAAUUAAAUGUCCUAAAUACAUCUAAGCCUAGGCAUUUAAUUUAGAUUUAUAAGGAUAAUUUAGAUUUAUAACAAUAGUUAUUAUACAUUAAGUACAAUAAAUGCCAAUUGAUUUUUAUAGACAAUAUUUACUCAGGUGUAACUGCACAGCAAAAUUUAAUUAUCUUCCUGCUUUGUUAGAAGGAUGAGGCUGAGCUUUCAGUAGCAGGACCCUGUGAGAGGGCUGGCAGCGAAGGGAGCUGCUCCCACUACCCCCACCUUAGAAAGCCAACCUUGAUCUUGCCCCACUCCAUAACUGCAAAGUAAGAAGCUCGCCCUGCAUCUUUCAAUGGGAAAAGUGAUGGGAAAUCUUGGUGUUGGCUGUGGGCUGCAGCAGCUGCCCAAGGACUAAGAGGUUGGCUGCUGAAGCUCGGCCCCCACAGCUUCGCUUUGGGUAGAGGGAAGUGUAACGGAUCCCACAGAAUGUUUCCUGCCAGUAGGAUGCAGUGCUAGGCUUCGUGCAUGGAGAGGAGGAGAACCUAAUACCUGGUAGCAUCACUUGUCAUCAGAAGGGCCACGGUGUAUGGAAGAUGAUGUCAGGGAAUGCGGUGCAGUCACUGGUUAUGAACUGAAGAGGACAUUUCUGAUUUCUGCGUGGGAAACACCAAUGUGACAUUCUGGGAAUGUUUGUGGGUAAGGAGCCACAUCAGCGCAUCUCCGUGCUGGGAGGAAAGCGUUCAGAGAGGGGUUCUGAAACAGAAGGCUUUAAUCCGUUUGUUCCAAAUGACUUUUAAUUUUGCCAUUGUGUUCUUUUCAUUAACGGAGUGGAGAAAGAGUAUGACCAUCGUGGUGAUGAUCAUUUGCAAUACUAAUAUGUUUUCUGAGAAAUUCCAUAUCUGUUGGUAACAAAAGAAAAGUCGAAUUCCUAGGAAACCCUUCAGGGCACAAACCCUCUUUCCUCCCUGUCUCCAGCACUCUGGCCAUCCGAGCAGCUUUCGUAUUUUGUUGGCUCCCUCUGCAGUGGGUGCCUGCAGCGUGUCGGUGGAGCAGUCUGGGCAGGAUCUCUCCCUGUUUCAUUUUGCUAAGGUUUCUACAAACAUUUCAUUCAUUUGCAGUUCAGGGUGUUUCAUGUUCCAUAAGCUUCGCUUCGAGAUUUGAGGGAGAAUGAGACCGGAAUCUCAAGCAGAAGCCAAUGAGGCUCACCUGUGUUCAUGUCAGCCCCAUAAAUCAGCCCAGGCACUCAAACAAGUUCACGAACCUUUGGGAAACUCGGAAUGAACCUGGGCUGAAUCUCCAGGCUGGAUGCACAGUUUUCCUAGUAAAUAAUUCACAACAUGCAGCUGAGCUGGCAAGAUAAUGAUUUCUAAAGCAAAAAUAAUGUAAAGCACUGAUACUAUAUGGGAUAAACACAUUUUUAAUGCAGUUGUACUGAAGAAUGUGCUGGUGUAAUCUUGGAAUGUAAAUUUGCCUGCUCCGACCACUGUGACUUUCCCCACGUUUUUAUUUCUCUCGAACAUCACAAAUACCAACAGCUCACCAAAAUUAACAGGAAUCCCACGUGCUUAAAGACCUCUGCCAAAUCCACCCCGUGCUGUGUGUUCUGCAUCCUCUUUGAUGUGCAAUAUUGCACAUUCUCUGAAUGGAGAGUGUAUCGGUGCUGUACGGGUUUGUUUCACAGCCCCACUGCUGUGGACAGCACAUGGCAAGGGGAGGACGUGAGGAAAAUAGAUGUGCAUGGGGAACCCAGCCAGCAAAUGGGAGGAUCCUCUGGAAUCCGUAAUUGGAAUAAUUACUUGGAAUAUGAGUUUGUGGCAGAGGAGCUCAUGCUGCACGUCCCUUCAGUCCUGGUGCGGGUCUGUGAGCUGAGGAAUUUGGGUUUCACGUGGCAGCUGUGCUCGCACGCAGUUGCGCAGUGCAGUGUUGGGGUCUGAGCUCGUGGCACCGUGCCUGAGCAGCACGAAGCGCUGCGAGCACAAAGGAUUCAGGAGUGCAUUGCGCUCAGGAACUGGGGCCCAAAUCGAGAUCCCGGAUGGCAAUGCACAGAGGAAGGAGGGCAGGGGCUGCUCAGGCACUCACAGCCCUCUGUCUGCACCUGCCCUCUGGGUGCAAGUCCAAACCAAACUGCUUCUUCCCCCUUACUGCCUAGGGGCACGUGCAGGAACCCAAGCCUUGGCCUGGGAUGGCCUUCAGCAAGAGCAACGAGCGCCGGCCCGGCUGUAUGCUGAGAGCAGUUUACAUGACGCUUGGACAGGGCAGCGAGGUUUUUCUGUUUUGUUGGCAUGAAAGAGAAUGACCAGGCAGAGAAAUAAAGGGAGAGAUAAAUCUGCUCACGCGCGCACACACAAAUAUUGUGAUGAAAAUGAAGAUGGUUCUGUUGUGUGAAUGUUUCGAGGAGCACAGAGCACUGGGAACAUGUUCCAAAUGUCAAAUGGAUUAUACUCCAGCGCCCUUAUUGUUUCAUAUAAUUCUCAUCUAAUGUCACCCCUGGCAACAAUAAUACAAGUCUCAAUAUUCGCUUUGAUGGAGCCUCGCUGAAUAUUUUUAAGCAAUGAGGAAAUUGCCAGGGGGAGUGAGAGAAGGAGGGGCAGGCGGGAUGGGGACUGCACCCAGCACGAGGGUGACAAAACAGAUCCCCGAAUUAAAUCCAUCAGGAAGAUUGAGUUUGCAAUUUCAGGGUCUCCGACGCCCGCGCUGCUGCGGCUCGGCGAGGCUCGCGUUUGAGUCUUAAUCAUGAGGUUUGUCUCCAUCGGAAUACAAUUAGGGAGCCUGAGCUGGAAGCGAACAGAUCGGAGGAGCGGAGUGAAGGCGAACGCAGUAACACGAAGAGGGACAAAUCUUCGUCAUUCUGCCGGGCUGAACGGAGCUGUCACAUUACAAGGUCAGGCCGAAGUGAGCUGAUUUUGCGGGAAGGAAGGAUGAAAUGACUACAAAGGUGGAAAGUGCAGAGAGGCAGCACUGGCUCAUCCUCCGUUAUUUGAUUGCUCUUUUGACCCCACAGGUUUUCAUAAAGUUGAUUAACAGAUCCACGAGCCGUGCUGCUUCCCAUCCUCCUUCCAGGAGGGCUGAGAACACAGGAGCAGCAGCGCUGUGUGAGUGCUCCGAGAGACUGCUGACAAACAGCCAGCGGGGUUCGGGCUGCAGGAGCCACACACCAAGUGGGACCUCACCUGGGCGGCUCCUGGGACCACAGACGGGAUCAGAACGGCUGCAUCCAUUCCCAUCCACCCAACGUGGGGCAGCAAGCCCUCUCCUGGGGCUGGUCCUGCAAGAGAAAGCAGGAAUUAGGAGCUGCGUUCAGGGCAGGCUCUAAUCUUCGGAGCAUGAAGGAAUUCUCAUUAAAGUCAGUCACAAAGUUUAUGUUCAUUUGACCUGAAAAAAAGGUUAGUUCGAGGCAAAAUCUUUGUAUGGGAAGAAUGGAAAACACUUCAAAGCAGUUAAAUCAGAGAAAGAUGCUUAGCCUUUCGCUUAAUUCUCCAAGGAGUCUUCUAGCAUAGAUACAGCAGUCUGUUCCAAAUUGGUGCUGUCAUGCCAGAUGCACAGACCUGGGAAUGGACAAUUUGGGGUCCAUAAUAUUUAUAAUCUCAGUGUGUGGCCUCUCUUCUGUGUCCUGCUGUCUGCGCUGAUUGCACAGUGUUUGUCUUAUUCCAAGAGCCAUCAUAUGUGACACAGACAUAAUGUUUCCCUUCUUAUUUCUCCCUUAAAUUAUAGGAGUUUCACUGAGCUCUAUGAUUUGUGCAGGCAGUAUUACAGGCAUCAAUCACAGCUUGCCUUUUCCCUCCCAUCUCUAAUGGCACAAGGUUCUUUCUUCAGUGCUCAUGGUCCUACGCAGACCAAGUGUGAGUUAAAAGGUUUCAGUGGGGAGGGUCUGGAAGGACAGGGCAACAUUCAUUGUUAGAGGUCAGACGGGAGCGCAAAAAGCAAAAUACUGUCAUCUUGUGCAGCCAUAAUCUGGACAUCACCUUAUGGUUAAUGGCUCCUGUUUCAGGACAGGGAUUCAGGAGAUGGGCCAGCACCUGGCAGGCUGUGCCCAGCUCCCAGUUCCUGCUCAUCAGGUCCUGCUCGUGCUCGGGCUCUCUCCAUCGCCGUUAUGCCCUCUCCUUGGUUACAGAGCUGGGACCAAGCUGCUCCCUGGUCAUAACCAGCCUGACAUAUAUCUUAAAUAGGAUCUCUGCAGUGAGAGGAGGUGCGCACAGAACCUGCACAACCUGCUUGGAUACCACGUUACCAACAGGUGGUGAGAUAAAUCCCACGUUACGCUCCCUCUUCAGCUGGUGCAAACAGAAGGGUGCCCUGCAGAAGUCACCUUCAGUCCUCAAAUAGUCUCAUGCUGACUGAAGAUCCCCAUCUCUUGCUGUUGGCUGCAGAGCAUCUUAAUUUAGCUGCUCAUUGAGGUACCUGUGUCGCACUCAGGAGUGGCACCCAAGAGCAUGCAUGCUCUGUGGGCUGUACCAAGGAAAAAAACCUUUUCAUUUAAGCUGGAGUCCCCAGAAAGUAUCACAGCGGGCACUUUCAUAAACAUGUACCAUCAUAAACAUGUACCAGAACAGACUAAAGGAGAUUUAGGAUAUAUGAAAUCUGGAGUCUUCUUUGGAAGACAUGCUCCCUUACUCUCCCUGCUGAAAUUCUGCUGUUGGGUUUGGCUCUGAGUUUUCAGCCCGUGACAACUGACCAGACAGAUCACUGUCGGAAUUGUCCCCUUCCUGAGGAGUGAUGGAAGAUGGUUUAGCUUACAGUAAUCCGUGGCCAGGCCCCCGAGGGGUGUCCUUUCAGUGCCCUUCCUCCUCUCAUCCCAGUGAAAUGCAAUAAUGGCCGGCCACCUGCAACUUGCUUUUGUACUGCUGGUGUUUGGCAUUCUCUUUGCUGCUGCCUGAGGGUAUGCGCCAAUCUGUUAAUACAUAUAUAAAUAUUAUCCUUAUUAAUCCCUCAGAGAAAAAUAAUAUCAACAAAACUUAUUGCCGUUUCCUGUGUGGCUGACUGAGUAAUGUGAACCAGAUGAUGUUUAUGUUUAAGAAAUGAAAAUGCCAAUAAAAACGCAAUUUUAAAUAA
Molecule: long non-coding RNA, 13176 nt
Organism: Numida meleagris (helmeted guineafowl)
Lineage: Eukaryota; Metazoa; Chordata; Aves; Galliformes; Numididae
Exons: 3
Source: RefSeq, a predicted model, not a curated record